CGCCCGGAUGGUCCCAGGGGCUUGUCAUUUGUCAGUUUCAAAUGUGUAAGUGCUUGGGUUCCGGAGUUAUGGGUUGGCGGCCCAGGGUGGACGACGUUCUCCUUUUCUGUGAUAUGGUGGGAAUCGAACCCCGGUCUCCCGCGUGACAGGUGGGGAUACUCACCACUGUACUAAAGAGGAAGAGGCUGCUACCAGCCAAGAGUCUUUCCUCCACUUUGUCAAAUGUCCCACCCAUGUCAGGCAACACCACCCACUCCCAAGUCCCAGGGAAUGUAGGCUCCGCCCCUUCUAACCUCCAGGGCUUUGCUUGUGUCAAAAAUGAUGAGCUUAAAAUGCAUUUGGCAGUUUUGGAAGCAGUCUGUCUAGGUGUCCUAAAGGUGCACAUAAAACGUGCUUUGCGUCUGGCAGAGCAUUUGCCCAUUCAUGGGACAUUUGCAGGGGAUGAACAGGGCUUGCUUGCCUACAGCUCACACCCUGGCCGACAGGGCUUUGUCAGGGCCGGGGAUUCAUAUACCUUGGGGAGGGAGGUACUCUUUGUGCUUGCUACGGCAGCACACCUACUAAAAUUGGAUCGAUACAGAGAAGAUUAGCAUGGCCCCUGCGCAAAAGGAGGUAAUGGUUCUUCACGGUGGCCAGCGCCAUGUUAAUUUACGAAAAACGGGACGACAGGCUUUUGUGCGACGAAUGUGCGACGAAAACAGACGUGUGUUGUUUCUGCUCCAGAGGCACAUGGCUACUUAAAUAUUCUUCACAACUACUUACAAAGACAUAUAUAGAAUAAUGAAAUUACACAAUCAAGUACUUAUAAA
This is a long non-coding RNA of Clupea harengus (Atlantic herring), 809 nucleotides long. RefSeq lists it as uncharacterized. Lineage: Eukaryota; Metazoa; Chordata; Actinopteri; Clupeiformes; Clupeidae. The record is from RefSeq and is a predicted model, not a curated record. The transcript has 2 exons.